This 73-nucleotide transfer RNA is filed under the name Stegodyphus mimosarum. It matches the Rfam family "tRNA". Rfam says of the family: Transfer RNA (tRNA) molecules are approximately 80 nucleotides in length. The record is from Rfam by way of RNAcentral. Lineage: Eukaryota; Metazoa; Arthropoda; Arachnida; Araneae; Eresidae.
GCCUUCGUGGUAUAGUGGCCAGCACGCUCGAUGAGUAAUUGAGAGGUCCCUGGUUCGAGUCCCAGCGAGGGCA